GGAGUGGACGCACCACUGGUGUUCCGGUUGUGUCGCCAGACGCAUUGCCGGGUAGCUAAGUGCGGAAGAGAUAAGUGCUGAAAGCAUCUAAGCACGAAACUUGCCAAGAGAUGAGUUCUCCCAGAUUACAAAUCUGUAAGGGUUGUUUAAGACUAAGACGUAGAUAGGCAUGGUGUGUAAGCGGUGCGAGCCGUUGAGCUAACAUGUACUAAUUGCCCGAGAGGCUUAACUAUACAACGCUCAAGGGUUUUG
RNAcentral lists this ribosomal RNA (252 nucleotides) under Parahaemophilus parainfluenzae. RNAcentral describes it as "Haemophilus parainfluenzae (human oral metagenome) partial 23S ribosomal RNA". It matches the Rfam family "Bacterial large subunit ribosomal RNA", at positions 2694 to 2925 of the family's 2925-position model. Lineage: Bacteria; Pseudomonadati; Pseudomonadota; Gammaproteobacteria; Pasteurellales; Pasteurellaceae. The record is from RNAcentral.